GCGGGGGUGCCCGAGCCAGGUCAAAGGGGUCGGGCUUAGGCCCCGAUGGCGCAGGCCUGCGUGGGUUCAAAUCCCACCCCCCGCACCA
RNAcentral lists this transfer RNA (88 nucleotides) under Desulfurococcales archaeon ex4484_42. RNAcentral describes it as "tRNA-Leu". It matches the Rfam family "tRNA". Rfam says of the family: Transfer RNA (tRNA) molecules are approximately 80 nucleotides in length. Their secondary structure includes four short double-helical elements and three loops (D, anti-codon, and T loops). The record is from RNAcentral. Lineage: Archaea; Thermoproteati; Thermoproteota; Thermoprotei; Desulfurococcales.